AUCGUUUUUUUGGUUCAUAAGCAUGAUUGGGUGCUCAUGCCAUUGAUGACGUGUGCCUCCCCUUAACCUUGUUCAGACUUGGGCACAUUACUCAUCUAAAC
RNAcentral lists this small nucleolar RNA (101 nucleotides) under Mesocricetus auratus (golden hamster). RNAcentral's name for it is "Small nucleolar RNA U13". It matches the Rfam family "Small nucleolar RNA U13". Lineage: Eukaryota; Metazoa; Chordata; Mammalia; Rodentia; Cricetidae. The record is from Rfam by way of RNAcentral.